GGCAGAAGAAUAAAACAGUCUGUUUUGAUAGAGGAACAACAGGCAAUGGAUCCCAAAGGUUGGCGUGUGGAGCUAAACGAUGGUCACUUCAUUCCUGUCCUAGGAUUUGGCACCUUUGAAGGUGAAAAGGUUCCUAAAAGCAAACCUACGGAGGACAUUAAAUUAGGUAUAGAUGCUGGGUUCAGACAUAUCGAUUGUGCGCAUUCAUACAGUAAUGAAAAGGAGAUUGGACUGGGUAUCCGAAGCAAAAUUGAAGAUGGCACUGUGAAGAGAGAAGAUUUAUUCUGCAGUACAAAGCUUUGGUCCACUUUCCUUCGACCAGAGUUGGUCCAACCAGCCUUGGAAAACUCUCUGAAAAAUCUUCAACUGGACUAUGUUGAUCAGUAUAUUAUUCAUUAUCCAGUGGCUCUGAAGCCAGGGGAGGAACUUUUUCCAGAAGAUGAACAUGGAAAACUGAUAUUUGACACAGUGGAUCUCUGUGCCACAUGGGAGGCCAUGGAGAAGUGUAAGGAUGCAGGAUUGACCAAGUCCAUUGGCGUGUCCAACUUUAAUCGCAGGCAGCUGGAGAUGAUCCUGAACAAGCCAGGGCUCAAGUAUAAGCCUGUCUGCAAUCAGGUGGAAUGUCAUCCUUAUCUCAACCAGAGGAAACUGUUGGAUUUCUGCAAAUCCAAAGAUAUUGUCCUAGUUGCCUAUUGUGCUUUGGGAAGCCAACGUCCAAAACAAUGGGUUGACCAGAGCAGCCCGGUUCUCUUGGAAGAUCCAGUUCUUUGUGCCAUGGCAAAAAAGUACGAACGAUCUCCAGCACUGAUUGCCCUUCGCUACCAGCUACAGCGUGGGGUUGUGGUUCUGGCCAAGUGUAUCAAUGAGAAGCAGAUGAAAGAGAACAUGCAGGUUUUUGAAUUCCAGUUGACUUCAGAGGACAUGAAAGUCCUAGAUGGCCUAAACCAAAAUCUUCGAUAUGCUUCUAUUAAAAUUUUUGCUGACCACCCUGAGUAUCCAUUUUCUGAUGAAUAUUAAUAUGGAGGCCUUUGUCCUGACUUCUACCAGAAGCUCUGCAUGUGGAUAUUGAGGUGGGAACUGUCUCGGAUGUUGGUGAUCACACACAUCUGCAUGGGUUCCAUCCAUGCUGCUUAGCAGCUCAUACUCAGCUAGCCUUAAGUGCUUAGAGUUCACAGCAACCAAAUCGGGUGAAUAAAGAAGAUCAUUUCUCUGGCAGGAGCAAGAGCCUCAGGAUAAGUUGAAGACCUCGAAAAGAGAGGAAUUCACCCAAAUCUAAUGAAAGAACAAAUUUCUUACAAGUUCUAGUGCAGACUGGAAAUUCUCAAAGUUCCUUUUUAAGUCAAAAGAAAUACUUUAAUUUGGGGGCCUAAUUUUGGUAGACACUUCCUACGUUCUAAAGAUGUCCAAAAGACCUGGAGGGAAUUCUGAAUGGACAAAUGAACCUCUAUUAGACCACAAGUUGCUGUUCAUAAGUCUCCUAAAGAUAAGUAACAAGUGGCUCCUUGGUUCUUACCUUACUUGCUGGACUAUUAGACAGCAGGCUACUUGGCUACGUCCUAUUUCAGCUGAGGUUCUAGGUAAUAACCUUGAUUGGUUCACAGGCCUCUUGUCCUGGAUUCCCCAAAGAUGAAGGUCUAUUAUGGAGAAGAUACUCAAAUUUUGGCUGUGCAUUUUGUUAAUCUUUGUUGUCACCUGUAUAAUCAUAAUAUGUGGGCAUAAGUGUUGUUCCAAAGCCAUCAUCAGAGGAGUAAAAUUUUAGUCAUGCAAAGCAUAUCUCACUCUCCCAAAUGGAACCCAAAAGUAUUUAAAAAUAAAUGUGAAAGAAUUUCAUUACUCUUACCCUGAUCUUCACCCUUUUAGAGCAGGAAGUAGUUAGCAUGGUUUUCACCCAGAUUCCCUGAAAUUGACGAAUGAGUAUAAGACAGUGGGGAUUUAAACUGAGAAGGAAGGAACUAAAAUCUUCCCUAGAGUGAAACCUUUGAGAUGAGCUUUGUUAACAGAGGCUGAGAAUACUCAGUAUAAUCAACUGUUGUUUAGAACUAACCAGGUAUUUCUGUCU
Equus quagga is the source of this 2059-nucleotide RNA transcript. It is a transcript of the gene named aldo-keto reductase family 1 member C23-like, with no coding region annotated. The record is from RefSeq and is a predicted model, not a curated record. NCBI's taxonomy places the organism in Eukaryota, Metazoa, Chordata, Mammalia, Perissodactyla, Equidae. The transcript has 12 exons.